UGUUUCGGCAAGGGGGUCAUCCCGACUUACCAACCCGAUGCAAACUGCGAAUACCGGAGAAUGUUAUCACGGGAGACACACGGCGGGUGCUAACGUCCGUCGUGAAGAGGGAAACAACCCAGACCGCCAGCUAAGGUCCCAAAGUCAUGGUUAAGUGGGAAACGAUGUGGGAAGGCCCAGACAGCCAGGAUGUUGGCUUAGAAGCAGCCAUCAUUUAAAGAAAGCGUAAUAGCUCACUGGUCGAGUCGGCCUGCGCGGAAGAUGUAACGGGGCUAAACCAUGCACCGAAGCUGCGGCAGCGACACUGUGUGUUGUUGGGUAGGGGAGCGUUCUGUAAGCCUGUGAAGGUGUGCUGUGAGGCAUGCUGGAGGUAUCAGAAGUGCGAAUGCUGACAUAAGUAACGAUAAAGCGGGUGAAAAGCCCGCUCGCCGGAAGACCAAGGGUUCCUGUCCAACGUUAAUCGGGGCAGGGUGAGUCGACCCCUAAGGCGAGGCCGAAAGGCGUAGUCGAUGGGAAACAGGUUAAUAUUCCUGUACUUGGUGUUACUGCGAAGGGGGGACGGAGAAGGCUAUGUUGGCCGGGCGACGGUUGUCCCGGUUUAAGCGUGUAGGCUGGUUUUCCAGGCAAAUCCGGAAAAUCAAGGCUGAG
This 648-nucleotide ribosomal RNA is filed under the name Escherichia coli. RNAcentral's name for it is "partial 23S ribosomal RNA". It matches the Rfam family "Bacterial large subunit ribosomal RNA", at positions 911 to 1560 of the family's 2925-position model. The record is from RNAcentral. Lineage: Bacteria; Pseudomonadati; Pseudomonadota; Gammaproteobacteria; Enterobacterales; Enterobacteriaceae.